AGCUUUGCCCAGUGGCAGUAUCAUAGCCAAUGAGGUUUAUCCGAGGUGUAAUUAUUGCUAAUUGAAAACUUUUCCCAAUACUCCGCCAUGACAACUUGAAAUAUAGUCGGCGUUGGCAAUUUUUGAGUCUCUACGGGGA
RNAcentral lists this small nuclear RNA (139 nucleotides) under Aotus nancymaae (Ma's night monkey). RNAcentral's name for it is "U4 spliceosomal RNA (ENSANAG00000004265.1)". It matches the Rfam family "U4 spliceosomal RNA". From Rfam's summary of the family: U4 small nuclear RNA (U4 snRNA) is a component of the major U2-dependent spliceosome. The structure of U4 snRNA from yeast and human has been reported. Lineage: Eukaryota; Metazoa; Chordata; Mammalia; Primates; Aotidae. The record is from Rfam by way of RNAcentral.